This 1418-nucleotide long non-coding RNA is filed under the name Arabidopsis lyrata. RNAcentral's name for it is "long non-coding RNA (ALYR_LNC000709)". Lineage: Eukaryota; Viridiplantae; Streptophyta; Magnoliopsida; Brassicales; Brassicaceae. The record is from RNAcentral.
UUUUUCUUCUUCUUCUUCUUCUUCUUACAUUGCGCACUCACUCUCACCCUCUGUUCAGCAUCUCACAAAUACACUAAACAGUCCUAAAUCUAAAAGGUAUUAAAUAACGAACUAUUCUUCUCUCUCUAUCUACCCAGUACAUUUUCCUCUCUAACUACAACUGCUUCCUAAGUUUUUCAUCUAAAGAAAGAACAAAUCAUUUUCCUUCAGUUCCUAGUGCUUCAGGACAGAAUCAACGGCUAAAUCACCAAAUGAUUCUAUCAUUGAGCUUCUUUUGCUUCCACAAAUGGCGAUUGAACACUAUCUGCAUCAGAAUCACUACCUGAUGAACUCCCACCUGACCCUGAAUCUGCCAGACCAUUACAAUGUUAGAGAUGACACAAGAAAAGGAGAAAACUUGUAGCAAGGAGAAAAGGGAAUGAGCAAAUAUACCACUAGACGAGGAACUACCACCACUAGAACUGGAACUGCCUGAAGAACUAGACCCACUACCUGCAACUGCAGUACCAUCUCUUUCGAUCUCUACAGAUGGGUAAUCUUCGAUUGGUAUGUCUUCUCCAAUGUCUACAUCCUCUUCCCCUGCAUCUCCUCUCCUUGUUCUCUUCUCCGCACUACCCAUUUCUGCUACCGAAGUCUAAGAGAGACAGGAAGAAAACAAUUUUAAGUAAUGAAACCACAGUGAUCAAAUGGUGGUUUUGAUAGGGCGGCAGUGCAAAUAUGCUUACCAUGUUCCUAGGUGGAGUUGACACGUUCCUGAUAAACCCUUGCCGCUUGAUUUUGCUAGCCAUCUUCUUGUAAUUCGUCACAAAACGAUCAAGCUCCCAUAGAGUCUCGUUGUCGACAGCUUCUAUAUCUAGCUCAAUUUCGUCACCAUCUUGAGCUAAAUGACCGUUUCUCUUCCUGAGAAUCUGAACCAACUGUCCAAGCUUCUCAGGAGGUAAGUCUUGUAGAUUCAUACCAAGCUUUGACUUCUCCUCCAUUGUCAUCAACCUCUUAUUUGGAUCCUUAGCCUUAGGCUUCGGCAACUUCCCCUUCCUUCCUUUUGUCACGUCACUCACAUCAGGAGGUGCUUCUACUUCAAUAACCAGCUGCGGAAGUUGAGGCUCAACCACCGGAGGAGGAGGAGGAGGUGGUGGAGAAGGAGAUUGAACACGCGACGGCUCGACUAAUUGAGGAGGCAAUGCAGGUAGUGGCGGCUUCACUGAAUCAAGCUUCUUCGCGAUAGAUAUUUGUUCGGUUCCUUUCCUAGGAUUUGCCACCAUUGGCGAAUUCUGAUUCCAAUGUCUUUGCUUGACCUCAGGUUCAAGACGAGAUGAAGAACCAGUGAGUUUAAGCUGCUGAGCCUCAAACUUCUUAAAAGCAGGAUUGAACAUUCCAUCGAAAUGAUCCAAAAGCUUAUCAGCCAUAAAAUACACAUC